Molecule: long non-coding RNA, 3031 nt
Organism: Oxyura jamaicensis (ruddy duck)
Lineage: Eukaryota; Metazoa; Chordata; Aves; Anseriformes; Anatidae
Exons: 2
Source: RefSeq, a predicted model, not a curated record
CAAGGGCUGCUCAGCUCCAUGGGGCCCUGCCCAGCACCUCCUCACGCAGGGCUUGCUCUGGGCCAGGCAGGGCCUCCCGGCUGCUGAGGCACACGGAGCUGUCGCAUCCCUGCUGAAGGGGUGGCGGUCAGGUUUCUGUCUGCCCACAGCCCAGGCUGUUACUCGUAGUGCCCAGCUUUUGUGUGGGAGGAAGCAGAGCGAUGGUCAGUCAGCACAGCUCACCUUCAUACCAGACACUGACCUUGGUGUAGAAAGUCUGCUUACCCCACGUACCUCGGCUUGGUUAGGCACGUGCAUCGCCUCAUGCGGGCACAGGCUGUGCCACCCUACAGCUGUGAGAUCAGUGGCGGUGGGCAAGGGGUCUCUGCUCCGGGUGCUGUUUGCUGCUUUGCAGGGUGUUUGCCAGGUGUGUGGGUGGACAGCACACAUCUGCCCUUGGGAUCGCUUGUGCUGGGGGGGGGGGUCUUUGGUACAUUCCUUUCACUGAAUGCAAGCAGUGCAAAGAGCUGCCUGUGAGCAGUGCAGGGUGGCGUGCAGUCCCUCAGCCGUAAGGCUGGGUCUCUGUCGGGUGUCUGUGCCCCUUUACAGCACAGCAGUAGGUGUGCUGAGUGCUGCGUCUUCUCCCUCAGGGUGUCCCGAAGCGUUAAUGAUCACUGUAGCAGAUGGAGGGAUGGUAAGCAGAUUAAUUGCCUUGUGCAAGGUACCUGAAGUCUCACCCUCCUUCAGAAACACAACACUUGUUCAGCCAGGUAAAUAACUUGUUUUAAAUCCCCUCUCAUUGCAGCUGACCCUAACUGUGUUUAUCCAAGUGGCUGGAGUUGUUCCAGUCUCUGUGGUAAGUGACCUUUCCCGAAUUUUUCUUUUCAAGUUGACAUUUAAGAAGGGGGGAAAAAGUCACAGAAACAAACCGUGUUUUAACAGCGAUAAAACCAUAGCACUCAACAAAGCCAGGAAAGUCUCAUUGGAGCCUGCCACUGAUGGCUGGGCCUUCCCCAGCAGAAUCCAUACGGACAGCGCUGCCUUUAAUUUCCUGCCCUGUCUGUGCCUCGCACGCCGCAGCAGCCCGCGGGACACUCGGCAGCCCUGCCGGGGUGCGGGGACAGCUCCGCACCCGGGGAGGCUUCGGGGUGCGGCUCAGCCCAGACAGCUGCUGGCAGCUGGAGGCACUCGCAUCAUCAGUUCAUUACUGAAAUUCAAAUGAAGAAGAGUUUUAAAUCUUCUCUGGAAGGAAUCUGGGUUUUGGCAGGCGGUGGAGCACUCUGCGUAUUUUGAAAAGGCCUUGGACAAUUUUGGUAAAUGUUUUACUGUGUGUUCGAGCAAGUAAUUUAUCCCUGUUUUUACAUUCCUCGGUUUCUGCUUCAGCACUUCUGCUGCUCAGUCCUCUCAUAGGAAGAUAUUUAAGAAAUGAGGUCUUUGAGUUCUGAAGGAAGUUUACCUCUUCAGCCCACUUGCCCUGAGCAUGAACUGCCUUUCUCAGGCUGGGAAUCCCAAGGCUGCCCAGCACUGAACGCUACUGUCCCCGUGUCCCCCCCAAAACUGUGGCAUGCCAUCCCCAGCUGGGCUUGGCAUGAGGCAGCACCUCUUGUACAUCCCUGCCCUCUCCAUCUGCAGAGCACCCAGGACUGGCCUUGCAGCCUCACUCAGGUUUGUGUUGGGUUGCAGGCGGUGAGCAGGAUGGCAAGAAGCACCUGCUGGGUGCCAGAGCUUCCCCACAGGUCCUCCCCUCCGCUCCUCUCCCUCGCCGAUGGCGAUGGCGCCGCUGCAGAGUGCUGCCUCACAAAGAUGAACCUGCAGAGACGAUGCUGCCCGCAGCACCAGGCCAGGGCGCCUCCUGCCCUGCUUGUUGCUGCUGCCUGCCUGAACGCAAGAGAAAGCCACCAUACGGCUUUCAGCCUGCGACUUCCCAUGAACUGCUGACCCAUCAUGUGAUGCAGGCUGCGGCAGGCCGGCUGGAGCGAGAUGCAAUGUCACCGGCUUAUCACAGUGCACCGAGCUCAGGCAAAGCCCCACUGCACAGCAGGACACAGUUGCUGAGUUUCCCGUCCCAAGCACUGAGUGACCUGGGCAAAGGAAGGUGAGAGGAGCUGCUGGGAGGGGGUAGCUGUUCCCCUUCCCAUAUCUCCUGCAGGUUUUGGAGCUCUGAGGGAAACUGGGGCAUCUUCCCUUGGCUGCUCACGCCUUCCCCUAAAACUGUCGUGCCCUCUCUGGCACCAUGCUGUGCCUUUGCAAUGCUCAGCUUCAGCACGAGCGUGAAGGCACAGCUCUGUGGCUCUCCUGAGAGCACGAUGGCAGGAGUGUCCCUGCAGACUGGGGGGGACCUGGUGUCAAGGGAGGACUUUAAGAGGGAAGGAAGGAAACUCAUUUAUUACCAGCCCCCCGUUUCUCUCUGAGAGACGCCUGCCCACUCCCCAUGGCAGUAUGGCUCCUCUCUGUGGUGCCAGCCCUGCUCCUGCAUGCCUUCAGUCACGCUGCGGCGUGCAUCAUGAGCCUUCUUGCAGGAUGUUGGCUGGCAGUGGUGGCACCUGGGCUCUGGUUUGCUUGGUCCCUUUGCUCAAAGCUGUCUGGAAGCUUUUUGCUCAAUCCACUGAGCACAUGACUUACAGGGUGACUCCAAAACCUGCCCUUGCCAUUCAUGAGCUCAAGCCUGUUUACAAAACAGUGGCUGAGGGCUGCUAUUUAUUGUUACAUACAUAUUGCAUUCAGAGUUGCUAAACAGGCAAAGCCAAAAUGAAAGUCAUCUGAGCAGUUUACUUUAAUUAGAAUAAGAUCCUGAUGAAUCAUGAGGUUUCUUUACCUCAAAGAUGCACAAGGAAUUGACUUUGGCAGCAAACAUCAAGGUACAGCAGUCAGUGCAGCCUGCUAGCUACAUUUGACAUCUGCUGGAAAGACUUGUUUUUCCAUCCCAAGUCACAUGCUAACUUGUGAUCUGAUCAUGAGAUACAAAGGAUAAUCUUCCAAUAUUUAUUUUUCUCAUCUGUAAUUUUAAAAGGCAGAGGAAAAAAAAAAUAAAAAGCAGUGUGAAAAAAAAAAA